RNAcentral lists this long non-coding RNA (4970 nucleotides) under Gossypium barbadense (sea-island cotton). RNAcentral describes it as "long non-coding RNA (GBAR_LNC001633)". Lineage: Eukaryota; Viridiplantae; Streptophyta; Magnoliopsida; Malvales; Malvaceae. The record is from RNAcentral.
UGGGCAAGACUGUUGAAAGCUGGACUGCAAUGCAACAUGGAGCCAAAAGCUUGCUACUGUCGAGACCAGCAGCUAUCGAGCUCAGCUCGUUUUGCUUGGUGCGCACGAAUGGUUUUUGAACUGAAUGAAGCAACUAACUUUGCUGCUUUGUUUUGAUGUAAUUUGGUUCAGUUCAACUUUAGUUUGUUUGUAAUGCUAGUUAAACUUAAGUUAGUGACAAGAUCUUUUGAUGUAAUGGCUGAUUGGUCAGCUAUGUUUGAUUAUUUUUUGGCUAGUGAUUAGGUUUGUAUUAGUUGGGGCAGUUAAAUACAUUAGGUAACUGUCAAUGUACAAUGUAACUCUUUUAUAUAUUUCAAGUUGAAUGAAAAAUAAAAAAUGUUCAGUCACAACAUUGCUGAGUAUUUUGAUUUUUUGACCAAAUUUUUGCUUUGCUUUGCCUCGAUUCUUCUUGCUUCAGUCUUGCAAACACUGAGUUGCAACUUUGUUUUGAUGUUUGCUACUGUCAUUGUUCCAACAAAUGGUAUCAUGAGCCCGAGUCUUUGAGGGGCCUUUGUAUGCAAUCUGUUGUGUUCGAAUCAAAACCAACAGCAAGUUCAAAAUUUGGUAAGAUUGAAGCAUUUAAAAUCAGUUUAGCAGAAUGAGUUUCACUCCACCACCUCCACCAGUGUUCACUGGAGAAAACUAUCACAUUUGGAUAGUUAAAAUGAAGACUUAUCUCCAGGCACAUGAUCUUUGGAGUGUGAUCGAGAAUGAUGCUGAACCACCUCCAUUGAGAGCCAAUCCCACCAUUGCACAGAUGAGGCAACAUACUGAGGAGCGAGCCAAGAAGCAUAAGGCUAUGGCCUGCUUGCAAAAUGGAGUCUCUGAUGUGAUAUUUACUCGCAUCAUGGCCUGUGACUCACCUAAGCAGGCUUGGGAGAAGCUGAAGGAGGAGUUCAUGGGGACUGAUAAGACAAGGCAACAGCAAGUAAUCAACCUCAGGAGAGACUUUGAAAAUUUGAGGAUGAAGGAGUCUGAGACCAUCAGGCAGUACUCAGACAGGAUAAUGGCCAUUGUCAACAGCAUUAGGCUCCUGGGAGUGGACUUCACAGAGAGCAGAGUUGUUGAAAAGGUUAUUACAACUCUCCCUGAGAAAUUUGAGUCUAAAAUCUCUUCACUUGAGGACUCGAGGGACUUAUCAGCCAUUUCAUUGUCUGAGCUGAUAAAUUCCCUAUAUGCACUUGAGCAAAGGAGGGCAAAUAGGCAGGAGGAGAAUCCUGAAGCUGCUUUCCAGGCUAAAGCCAGUGAAGGCUUGAGUGUGAGUGCAAAAGGCAAGAAGCCUUGGCACAAUAGAAGGGUCAAGUCAGGAAGAGAUGAAGCAAAAAGGGUGUUCCCACCAUGUGUUCAUUGCAAGAAGACAACACAUUCAGAAAAGUAUUGCUGGUUUAGGCCAGAUAUUCAGUGUAGAAAAUGCAAACAGUUUGGCCAUGUGGAGAAGGUGUGCAAGGGCAAACCAAGGGAGGCUACUUUGCAACAAGCUAGACCUGCUGAGGACAUUCAAGCUCAGGAGGAGCAAGUGUUCACAGCAACUUGUUUUGUUGGCACAACCAAGGCCAGCAAUGAUUGGCUACUAGACAGUGGCUGCUCACACCUUAUGGCAGCAGAUGAGAAGCUAUUCAAAAGCCUAGACAGAAGCUUCCACUCGAGGAUUAGAAUUGGAGAUGGUAGGCUGAUUGAGGCUAAAGGCAAGGGCAGUGUGUUGAUUAGCACUGGUUCAGGUAACAAGCUGAUCUCAGAUGUGUUUUUUGUACCUGACUUAGACCAGAAUUUGCUUAGUGUAGGCCAAUUAGUUGAAAAGGGCUAUACAUUGGUUUUUAAGGAUGGUUGCUGUAUUGUUCAAGACAUGAAUGGUCUGGAGUUAGUCACAGUCUCUAUGACUGAUAGGUGCUUCAUGCUGGAUGUUAGCCAAAUAGAAAGAAAGGCAUACACCAGCCUUGUUGAAAGCACUGACUUGUGGCAUAGAAGACUAGGCCAUGCAAAUUUUAGAUCUAUCGAUCUGUUACAUAGGCUGAAUCUGGUUGAUGACAUUUCAAAAAUUGAAGCUAGUGGGAAUGUUUGUGAGGUUUGUCAGCUUGGUAAGCAGGCUAGACUGCCUUUUCCUGCUGACAGUGCUUGGAGAGCUCAAGACAAGCUCGAAUUGGUGCACUCUGAUGUUUGUGGCCCUAUGAGAACACCUUCAAUCAGUGAGAACAGGUACUUUGCCUUGUUUAUAGAUGAUUUAACAAGGUUGUGUUGGGUCUACUUCUUGAAGCAAAAGUCAGAAGUGCUUGAAGCCUUCUGUAAAUUCAAGGCUUAUGCUGAAAAUCAGUCAGGCUGCAAAAUUAGAGCCUUGAGGACUGAUAAUGGAUCUGAAUAUGUGUCUGGGAGAUUUCAGAAGCUUUGUGACAGUGCUGGGAUUCACCAUCAGCUCACAACAGUCUAUACUCCUCAACAGAAUGGAGUCUGUGAGAGAAAGAAUAGGACUGUACUGAACAUGGCCAGGUGCCUCUUGUUUCAAGGCAAGCUUCCAAGUCAGUUUUGGGCUGAGGCAGUCAACACCUCAGUGUAUCUGCUCAACAGACUGCCAACUAGAGCAGUCAAGGAUAAGACUCCUUUUGAGGCUUGGCAUGGAGUCAAACCUGUGGUAACACACUUAAAAGUGUUUGGCUGUGUAUGUUAUGCACUUAUUCCAGUAGAGAAAAGGACCAAGCUUGAGAGCAGAGCAACUCCAGGAAUCUUUGUUGGCUACAGCAACAACAAGAAGGGCUAUAGAGUGUAUGAUCCUACAGCAAAGAAGGUUUUAGUCAGCAGGGAUGUUAAGUUUGAUGAGGAAAAGGUGUGGAAUUGGAAUGGUGUUGUGGCUAACUUGUCUGAAUUGGACCAGUUAGACUUGGUUGCUGAACCUGCAGAAGAAGGACCAAGUAAUGAUGCUGUCGAUGAUAUACCAGUGAGGGGCACCAGAACUUUGGUUGAUGUUUAUCAGAGGUGCAAUGUUGCUGUGAUUGAGCCCUCAGACUUUGAAGAGGCUGCUAAAAAUAGAAGCUGGAUGAGAGCUAUGGAAGCUGAGUUAGAAAUGAUCAACAAAAAUCAAACUUGGGAGUUGGUGAGCAGACCAGAACACAAGAGGGUCAUAGGAGUUAAAUGGGUGUAUCGGGCCAAGUACAAUGCUGAUGGCUCACUGAACAAGCACAAGGCCAGGCUUGUGGUGAAGGGCUACAGUCAGCAGUAUGGUGUUGACUACCUAGAAACUUUUGCUCCAGUGGCAAGACUAGAUACAAUUAAGCUGUUGUUUGCUUUAGCAGCUCAGAAGCAGUGGAGAGUUCACCAAUUGGAUGUCAAAUCAGCAUUCCUGAAUGGUUUUCUCAAGGAGGAGAUCUACAUCGAGCAACCUGAAGGUUUUGAAGUUGUUGGACAUGAAGACAAAGUGUAUAAGUUGAGAAAGGCCCUCUAUGGCCUGAAACAGGCACCAAGGGCCUGGUAUGACAGAGUUGAUGCCUACCUGACCAAACUUGGAUUUGUAAAGAGCCUUAGUGAGCCUACUCUAUAUGUUAAAAGGUCAGAACAUGAAACCUUGCUGAUAGUCUCCUUGUAUGUGGAUGAUUUGCUUGUGACAGGGAGCAAAAUCGAGCUCAUUGAUCAGUUCAAGGUCCAAAUGCAGCAAGUGUUUGAGAUGACAGAUUUGGGGAUCAUGACUUACUUCCUUGGCAUGGAAGUGCACCAAUCUGAUCGAGGUACCUUCAUCAGCCAACACUCAUUUACUUUGAAGAUUCUAGACAAAUUUUGCAUGCAUAAUUGUAAAGCAGUCAGCACACCUGUGGCUCAAGGAGAAAAGCUGACUAGCAGUGGUGAUCAGCAGAGGGUUGAUGAGAGGCACUAUCGAAGCCUAGUUGGUUGUCUGUUGUAUUUAACAGCAACCAGGCCAGAUAUCAUGUUUGGUGUCAGCCUGUUAUCAAGAUUUAUGCAUUGUUGCAAUGAGGCACAUUUGAAGGCAGCAAAGAGGAUCCUUAGAUACAUCAAGGGCACUGCUAGUUUUGGUGUAAUGUUUGAAAGUCAGAACCAACUGAAACUAGAAGGCUACUCUGACAGCGACUGGGCAGGAUCUCUCGAUGACAUGAAGAGUACCUCUGGAUACUUCUUCACACUUGGAUCGGGUAUGUUUUGCUGGAGUUCUAAGAAGCAACAAACUGUUGCUCAGUCCACAGCUGAAGCAGAGUACAUUGCUGCAGCAGGAGCAGUUAAUCAGGCCAUUUGGCUAAGAAAGCUGCUUUAUGACCUUAAUGAAACUCAAGAUGAAGCAACUGAAAUCUGGGUGGACAAUCAGUCUGCAGUUGCAAUAGCCAAGAACCCUGUGUUCCAUGGCAAGACUAAGCAUUUUAAGAUCAAAUUGCAUUUUGUUAGAGAGGCUGAACAAGCAAAGGAAGUCAGCCUUGUGCAUUGCAGCUCAGGAGCACAAUUGGCUGACAUAAUGACCAAGCCCUUAGGGGCUGCUCGAUUUGAAUCUUUGAGAAGUGCAAUUGGAAUGUGUUGCAUACAGUCCAAGGAGGAGUGUUGAAAGCUGGACUACAAUGCAACAUGGAGCCAAAAGCUUGCUACUGUCGAGACCAACAGCUAUCGAGCUCAGCUCGUUUUGCUUGGUGCGCAUGAAUGGUUUUUGAACUGAAUGAAGCAACCAACUUUGCUGCUUUGUUUUGAUGUAAUUUGGUUCAGUUCAACUUUAGUUUGUUUGUAAUGCUAGUUAAACUUAAGUUAGUGACAAGAUCUUUUGAUGUAAUGGCUGAUUGGUCAGCUAUGUUUGAUUAUUUUUUGGCUAGUGAUUAGGUUUGUAUUAGUUGGGGCAGUUAAAUACAUUAGGUAACUGUCAAUGUACAAUGUAACUCUUUUAUAUAUUUCAAGUUGAAUGAAAAAUAAAAAAUGUUCAGUCACAACAUUGCUGAGUAUUUUGAUUUUUUGAC